UGUAAAUAAGUGUAAGAGGCACAAUGUUUUUUGAAAUCAUUAGGUAAGUUUAAUUCUUAAAUUUACAA
Molecule: transfer RNA, 68 nt
Filed under: Busonia albilateralis
Lineage: Eukaryota; Metazoa; Arthropoda; Insecta; Hemiptera; Cicadellidae
Description: tRNA-Gln
Source: RNAcentral